RNAcentral lists this ribosomal RNA (513 nucleotides) under uncultured bacterium. RNAcentral describes it as "partial 16S ribosomal RNA". It matches the Rfam family "Bacterial small subunit ribosomal RNA", at positions 28 to 523 of the family's 1533-position model. The record is from RNAcentral.
GACGAACGCUGGCGGCAUGCCUAAUACAUGCAAGUCGAGCGAACAGAUGAAGUGCUUGCACUUCUGACGUUAGCGGCGAACGGGUGAGUAACACGUAAGGAAUCUACCUAUAAGCGGGGGAUAACAUUCGGAAACGGGUGCUAAUACCGCAUAAUAUCUUCUUCCGCAUGGAAGGAGAUUGAAAGACGGCUCUGCUGUCACUUAUAGAUGACCUUGCGGUGCAUUAGUUAGUUGGUGGGGUAACGGCCUACCAAGACGAUGAUGCAUAGCCGACCUGAGAGGGGGAUCGGCCACAUUGGGACUGAGACACGGCCCAAACGCCUACGGGAGGCAGCAGUAGGGAAUCUUCCGCAAUGGGCGAAAGCCUGACGGAGCAAUGCCGCGUGAGUGAAGAAGGCCUUCGGGUCGUAAAACUCUGUUAUAAGAGAAGAACAAAUUGUAGAGUAACUGCUACAGUCUUGACGGUAUCUUAUCAGAAAGCCACGGCUAACUACGUGCCAGCCGCCGCAGUAA